UUUUAUUUGAGAGUUUGAUCCUGGCUCAGGAUGAACGCUGGCGGCGUGCCUAACACAUGCAAGUUGAGCGAUUUACUUCGGUAAAGAGCGGCGGACGGGUGAGUAACGCGUGGGUAACCUACCCUGUACACACGGAUAACAUACCGAAAGGUAUGCUAAUACGGGAUAAUAUAUUUGAGAGGCAUCUCUUGAAUAUCAAAGGUGAGCCAGUACAGGAUGGACCCGCGUCUGAUUAGCUAGUUGGUAAGGUAACGGCUUACCAAGGCGACGAUCAGUAGCCGACCUGAGAGGGUGAUCGGCCACAUUGGAACUGAGACACGGUCCAAACUCCUACGGUAGGCAGCAGUGGGGAAUAUUGCACAAU
This 364-nucleotide ribosomal RNA is filed under the name Clostridioides difficile. RNAcentral's name for it is "bacterial SSU rRNA". It matches the Rfam family "Bacterial small subunit ribosomal RNA", at positions 1 to 372 of the family's 1533-position model. Lineage: Bacteria; Bacillati; Bacillota; Clostridia; Peptostreptococcales; Peptostreptococcaceae. The record is from RNAcentral.